AUUUUAUUAAAAAAUUAAUAAACUAAUUAGAUAUAUUUUAUUUUAAAAAAUUUAUUUUAAAAUAUCAAUUAUUAUAAUAAGAAAAAUUAAUAAAAUUAAUAGUUUAAAAGUACAGUAAUGGAAAUAAUAAGUAAUAUAAUAAUAGUAAAAAUUAAUUUUUGUACCUUUUGUAUCAGGGUUAAAUAAAUAAAAAAUAUUAUUACUUUUUUCUCGAAAUUAUUUUGAGCUAAGUAUAAAUAUUAAAUAAUUUUGUGACAAAAAAAUUAUUUAUUUAUAUUUAGAUAUGAUAUGUUAUCCGUAAUUAAUGUUAUCUAGUUUUUAAUUAAGUAUUAUUAUUAAGUUAUAAAUUAAAAUUUUAUGUUUAAUAAAUAGUAAAUAUUGUAGGGAUAAGCUUAUGAUAUAAUUUAAAAGCUUAUUAAAUAUUUGUUACAAAUUUGGAUUUGAAAGUAAUUUUAAUUUUAAUAGUUUAUAAACUUUUAAUUAAUAUAAUACGCUUUAUAUUUUUUAAAAUAAAUGAAUUAAUUUUUCUUUUUGAAAUAAUGUUUAAAUUAGUAUAAAUUUUUUUAAUUAAUUAAUUUAUGUUUUAUAAUAUUUAUUUAUGAAUUCGGCAACUAAAUUUUUCGCCUGUUUAUCAAAAACAUGGCUUAAUGUAAUUAAAUAUUAAGUUGUACCUGCCCAAUGAUUUUAUAAAUUUAAUGGCCGCAGUAAUUUGACUGUGCAAAGGUAGCAUAAUCAUUUGUUUUUUAAUUGAAGACUGGAAUGAAUGGUUUGACGUAAAAAUAGCUUUAUUAAUAAUUUUAUUAAAAAUUAAUUUUUAUGUUAAAAAGCAUAAAUAGUAUUAAGGGACGAAAAGACCCCAUCAAGUUUAAUAUACUAUUUCAAAAUAUGAUUUAAUUCUUAAUUUAUUUGAAUUAUAUAUUUUGCUGGGGCGGUAGAAAUAGAUUAUCUUUUUUUAAUAAAAAUGAAUUAUAUUUUAUUAAUUAUCCUAUUUUAUAGAAUUAUAAUAAAUUACUGUGGGGGUAACAGCGUUAUUUUUUUGUAGAGUUCUUAUUAAUAAAAAAGAUUGCGACCUCGAUGUUGGAUUAAAUUUUUCUAUUAGGUGAAGAUGCUUAAUGGGAUAGUCUGUUCGACUAUUAAAUAUUUACAUGAUCUGAGUUCAGACCGGCGUAAGCCAGGUCAGUUUUUAUCUUUAAUUUUGUAACAAAUUAAUUAUAGUACGAAAGGACUUAAUUAAUAAAAAUCUUUUAUUUAUUAUUUUUAUUAUAUAAUAAUAAUU
Molecule: ribosomal RNA, 1276 nt
Filed under: Colossendeis robusta
Lineage: Eukaryota; Metazoa; Arthropoda; Pycnogonida; Pantopoda; Colossendeidae
Description: 16S ribosomal RNA
Source: RNAcentral